AGUGAACGCUGGCGGUAGGCCUAACACAUGCAAGUCGAACGGCGGCACAGUAAGCGCUUGCUCUUACGGGUGGCGAGUGGCGGACGGGUGAGGAAUACAUCGGAAUCUACUUUUUCGUGGGGGAUAACGUAGGGAAACUUACGCUAAUACCGCAUACGACCUACGGGUGAAAGCAGGGGAUCUUCGGACCUUGCGCGAUUGAAUGAGCCGAUGUCGGAUUAGCUAGUUGGCGGGGUAAAGGCCCACCAAGGCGACGAUCCGUAGCUGAUCUGAGAGGAUGAUCAGCCACACUGGAACUGAGACACGGUCCAGACUCCUACGGGAGGCAGGAGUGGGGAAUAUUGGACAAUGGGCGAAAGCCUGAACCAGCCAUACCGCGUGGGUGAAGAAGGCCUUCGGGUUGGAAAGCCCUUUUGUUGGGAAAGAAAAGCAGCAGGUUAAUACCCCGCUGUUCUGACGGUACCCAAAGAAUAAGCACCGGCUAACUUCGUG
This 492-nucleotide ribosomal RNA is filed under the name uncultured bacterium. Its description in RNAcentral is "partial 16S ribosomal RNA". It matches the Rfam family "Bacterial small subunit ribosomal RNA", at positions 29 to 507 of the family's 1533-position model. The record is from RNAcentral.